This 30-nucleotide non-coding RNA is filed under the name Homo sapiens (human). The record is from RNAcentral. Lineage: Eukaryota; Metazoa; Chordata; Mammalia; Primates; Hominidae.
UNGGAAAUUGGCUUUACAGAAAUAAAACCA